AUGAUGCAUAGCCGACGUUGUAGAGACUGAUCGGCCACAUUGGGUACGUGAGACACGGCCCAAACUACCUACGGAGGGCAGCAGUAGGGAAUCUUCCACAAUGGACGCAAGUCUGAUGGAGCAACGCCGCGUGAGUGAAGAAGGGUUUCGGCUCGUAAAGCUCUGUUGUUGGUGAAGAAGGACAGGGGUAGUAACUGACCUUUGUUUGACGGUAAUCAAUUAGAAAGUCACGGCUAACUACGUGCCAGCAGCCGCGGUAAU
Molecule: ribosomal RNA, 261 nt
Filed under: uncultured Lactobacillus sp.
Lineage: Bacteria; Bacillati; Bacillota; Bacilli; Lactobacillales; Lactobacillaceae
Description: partial 16S ribosomal RNA
Rfam family: Bacterial small subunit ribosomal RNA
Source: RNAcentral